AGAGUUUGAUCCUGGCUCAGAACGAACGCUGGCGGCGUGCCUAACACAUGCAAGUCGAGCGCGAAAGUCCCUUCGGGGGUGAGUAGAGCGGCGGACGGGUGAGUAAUACAUAGGUAAUCUACCUUCGAGCUUGGGAUAACCCUGCGAAAGUGGGGCUAAUACCGGAUAAGACCACGUAAUUAUUUUACGGGGUAAAAGGUGGCUUAUUUUUUAAAUGAGCUAUCACUUGAGGAUGAGCCUGUGGCCUAUCAGCUUGUUGGUGGGGUAAGAGCCUACCAAGGCUAUGACGGGUAGCUGGUCUGAGAGGACGACUAGCCACACUGGGACUGAGACACGGCCCAGACUCCUACGGGAGGCAGCAGUGGGGAAUAUUGGGCAAUGGGCGAAAACCUGACCCAGCGACGCCGCGUGGGCGAUGAAGGCCUUCGGGUUGUAAAGCCCUGUCAUGCGGAAAGAACGACCCUGCGACGCAUAAUCGCAGGGAGUGACGGUACCGCAGGAGGAAGCACCGGCUAACUCCGUGCCAGCAGCCGCGGUAAUACGGAGGGUGCAAGCGUUGUUCGGAAUUAUUGGGCGUAAAGGGCGCGUAGGCGGUAAUGCUAGUCAGAUGUGAGAUACUCCGGCUCAACCGGGGAACUGCAUCUGAAACUGCAUAACUAGAGUACAGAAGAGGGAAACGGAAUUCCCGGUGUAGGGGUGAAAUUCGUAGAUAUCGGGAGGAA
This 722-nucleotide ribosomal RNA is filed under the name uncultured bacterium. Its description in RNAcentral is "bacterial SSU rRNA". It matches the Rfam family "Bacterial small subunit ribosomal RNA", at positions 8 to 706 of the family's 1533-position model. The record is from RNAcentral.